This 268-nucleotide long non-coding RNA is filed under the name Elaeis guineensis (African oil palm). RNAcentral describes it as "long non-coding RNA (EGUI_LNC034073)". Lineage: Eukaryota; Viridiplantae; Streptophyta; Magnoliopsida; Arecales; Arecaceae. The record is from RNAcentral.
GUUUUAUCAUUGAAUGGAAUUUUUUAAAACUAAUCAUGGCCCUGCAACCUAAAUGGGUCACCAUGGAUCGAAUGAACUUUAAGAGUAAUCCUCGCAGCAAUGACCAAAUCAAUCAUUGAUGGGAAACACUUUCGAGUUCUAGAAAUCCAAUAGCCAACCUAGUGACAAAACUUUGAUAAUGCAUGCUAAAUUAUGCACAUAGUACAAUGAAAAUGUUGAGAAUAUCUCAUAAAGGAUAAGGCAUAUCAACUACAGGAUAAACACUCCA